RNAcentral lists this ribosomal RNA (401 nucleotides) under uncultured eukaryote. RNAcentral's name for it is "bacterial SSU rRNA". It matches the Rfam family "Eukaryotic small subunit ribosomal RNA", at positions 592 to 1018 of the family's 1831-position model. The record is from RNAcentral.
CAAAAGUGUAUAUAUAUGUUGCUGCAGUUAGAAAGCUCGUAGUUGGAGAUUGGACAUUCGUAACGGUUACGAAUUUGAUUGGUUCGGUUACGUUCGCUUUAACCUGGUCGUUACCAUAAUAGGUAUGCGAGUGUGAUCGAAUGCUACCUUGAGUAAAUGAGCGUUCUCAGAGCAUGCUGUCGCGUUGGAUACUCUAGCACGGAAUAGUCAAGAUUGUACCGCACAUUAGGCGGAGAUGGUCGGCAUAACGAUUAAAAGGGUCAGACGGGGAUCAUCGUACUCAACUAUUAGAGGUGAAAUUCUAGGAUUUGCGGAGGACGACCUAAGGCGAAAGCAUUGGUCAAGUAUGUUCCCGUUAAUCAAGAACGAAAGUUGGGGAUUCGAAGACGAUUAGAUACCAU